Molecule: long non-coding RNA, 153 nt
Filed under: Mus spicilegus (steppe mouse)
Lineage: Eukaryota; Metazoa; Chordata; Mammalia; Rodentia; Muridae
Description: lncRNA (ENSMSIG00000024017.1)
Source: RNAcentral
GUUAAUAUCAUGGCAUCUGCUAUGUCUGGGCUCUCACAUGGCUGUUAUAAGAGCUUGUGUUUCCAGAAAACAAGACAACACUAUUCAAACUCUCAUCUUUUCAGUGAUGAAAGGGAUCCUGAGACACUGAAUAAUAAUUAUAAUAAUUGCUAA